AACGAACGCUGGCGGCGUGCCUAAUACAUGCAAGUCGAGCGCCGGCAGUCAUCCGAACCCUUCGGGGGGACGUUGACGGAAUGAGCGGCGGACGGGUGAGUAACACGUACAGAACCUUCCCUCAGGUCUGGGAUAACCACGCGCAAUCAGCGCUAAUACCGGAUGGGUCAUCGCACCGCAUGGUCCGAGGUUGCACGACGCUCCGACGUCGCCUGGGGAUGGCUUUGCGGUGCAUUAGCUAGUUGGUGGGGUAAUGGCCCACCAAGGCGACGAUGCAUAGCCGACCUGAGAGGGUGAUCGGCCACACUGGGACUGAGACACGGCCCAGACUCCUACGGGAGGCAGCAGUAGGGAAUAUUCGACAAUGGACGAAAGCCUGAUGGAGCAACGCCGCGUGAACGAUGAAGGCCUUCGGGUCGUAAAGUUCUGUUGUAAGGGAAGAACAAGUGCAGCAGGAAAUGGCGGCAUCUUGACGGUACCUUGCGAGAAAGCCACGGCUAACUACGUG
This 508-nucleotide ribosomal RNA is filed under the name uncultured bacterium. Its description in RNAcentral is "partial 16S ribosomal RNA". It matches the Rfam family "Bacterial small subunit ribosomal RNA", at positions 29 to 507 of the family's 1533-position model. The record is from RNAcentral.